Molecule: non-coding RNA, 93 nt
Organism: Tephrocybe sp. NHM501043
Lineage: Eukaryota; Fungi; Basidiomycota; Agaricomycetes; Agaricales; Lyophyllaceae
Source: the annotation of a GenBank genome assembly
UCUUUGCUAGUAUAUCGGUUAGUACACGCGCCUGUCAUUGGUAGUUCUGGAUAUUGGCCGCGCGAAAGCUGGGUUCGACUCCCAGGCAGAGAG